RNAcentral lists this ribosomal RNA (896 nucleotides) under Moelleriella hainanensis. RNAcentral's name for it is "eukaryotic LSU rRNA". It matches the Rfam family "Eukaryotic large subunit ribosomal RNA", at positions 43 to 962 of the family's 3401-position model. The record is from RNAcentral. Lineage: Eukaryota; Fungi; Ascomycota; Sordariomycetes; Hypocreales; Clavicipitaceae.
UCAAUAAGCGGAGGAAAAGAAACCAACAGGGAUUGCCCCAGUAACGGCGAGUGAAGCGGCAACAGCUCAAAUUUGAAAUCUGGCCCCCCCCGGGGGGCCCGAGUUGUAAUUUGCAGAUUGUGCUUUUGGCGAGGCGCCUUCCGAGUUCCCUGGAACGGGACGCCACAGAGGGUGAGAGCCCCGUCUGGUCGGCCGCCGAGCCUCUGUAAAGCACCUUCGACGAGUCGAGUAGUUUGGGAAUGCUGCUCAAAAUGGGAGGUAUAUGUCUUCUAAAGCUAAAUACCGGCCAGAGACCGAUAGCGCACAAGUAGAGUGAUCGAAAGAUGAAAAGCACCUUGAAAAGGGGGUUAAACAGUACGUGAAAUUGUUGAAAGGGAAGCGCUCGCGACCAGACUUGGGCCCGGCGGAUCACCCAGCGUUCUCGCUGGGGCACUCCGCCUCGUCCCAGGCCAGCAUCGGUUCGCGCCGGGGGACAAAGGCGGCGGGAACGUGGCUCCCCCGGGAGUGUUAUAGCCCGCCGCGCAAUGCCCUGGGGCGGACCGAGGAUUCGCGCAUCUGCAUGGAUGCUGGCGUAAUGGUCACCAGCGACCCGUCUUGAAACACGGACCAAGGAGUCGUCUUCGUAUGCGAGUGUUCGGGUGUCAAACCCCUACGCGUAAUGAAAGUGAACGCAGGUGAGAGCUUCGGCGCAUCAUCGACCGAUCCUGAUGUUCUCGGAUGGAUUUGAGUAGGAGCAUACGGGGCCGGACCCGAAAGAAGGUGAACUAUGCCUGUGUAGGGUGAAGCCAGAGGAAACUCUGGUGGAGGCUCGCAGCGGUUCUGACGUGCAAAUCGAUCGUCAAACAUGGGCAUGGGGGCGAAAGACUAAUCGAACCUUCUAGUAGCUGGUUUCCGCC